RNAcentral lists this ribosomal RNA (253 nucleotides) under uncultured bacterium. RNAcentral's name for it is "partial 16S ribosomal RNA". It matches the Rfam family "Bacterial small subunit ribosomal RNA", at positions 524 to 776 of the family's 1533-position model. The record is from RNAcentral.
GACAGAGGGUGCUAGCGUUGUUCGGAAUUACUGGGCGUAAAGGGCGCGUAGGCGGCUUGUUUAGUCGGGUGUGAAAUCCCGGGGCUCAACCCCGGAACUGCAUUCGAUACUGGCAGGCUAGAGACCGGAAGAGGUGGGUGGAAUACCCAGUGUAGAGGUGAAAUUCGUAGAUAUCGGGAGGAACACCAGCGGCGAAGGCGGCGAUCUGGGGCGAUACUGACGCUGAGGUGCGAAAGCGUGGGGAGCAAACAGG